UGUGCAAAAGGAGCAUAAUCAUUAGUCUUUUAAUUUGGGACUGGAAUGAAUGGUUUAACUAAAUAAUCAUGUCUCAUUAUUAUAUUUCAAAUUUUAUAUUUUAGUAAAAAAGCUAAAAUUUAUAUUAAAGACAAGAAGACCCUAUUAAGCUUUAUAAUUAUAAUUUAAUAUCAAUAUAAAUUAAAAAUUAUUUUACUGGGGCAGUAAAUAAAUUAAAUUUUAUUUUAAUAAUGUGAAUACAAUUCUUAAAAAAUCAAGAAAUUUUUAAAAAGAAAUAAGUUACUAUAGGGAUAACAGCAUUAUUUUCUUAAAGAGUUCUUAUCAUCAAGAAAGUUUGGACCNCGANG
This 347-nucleotide ribosomal RNA is filed under the name Euscorpius carpathicus. RNAcentral describes it as "partial large subunit ribosomal RNA". Lineage: Eukaryota; Metazoa; Arthropoda; Arachnida; Scorpiones; Euscorpiidae. RNAcentral also lists the same sequence under 1 other name. The record is from RNAcentral.